CUUGCCUUGCAGUCCAAGCUCAAGAAGAACUCAGGGAUUCAGGCUGCUGCUAAAUCUCAUGACAUUCCCAUAUAUGUGAUAAAGACAAGCUCAUUGGUGCAGAUAACAAAGGUCAUCAAGGCGUUGGCUAGCGAUUGUGCUAAUGGAUUGAAGGAUUCCAGAUCAGAAGAAAAUGCAAAAUCAUUAGAGAAGACUGAUGCCCUAGAAGAGGC
RNAcentral lists this unclassified non-coding RNA (212 nucleotides) under Hevea brasiliensis (rubber tree). The record is from RNAcentral. Lineage: Eukaryota; Viridiplantae; Streptophyta; Magnoliopsida; Malpighiales; Euphorbiaceae.